RNAcentral lists this ribosomal RNA (497 nucleotides) under uncultured bacterium. RNAcentral's name for it is "partial 16S ribosomal RNA". It matches the Rfam family "Bacterial small subunit ribosomal RNA", at positions 28 to 507 of the family's 1533-position model. The record is from RNAcentral.
GAUGAACGCUGGCGGCGUGCCUAAUACAUGCAAGUCGAGCGAACGGACGAGAAGCUUGCCUCACUGAUGUUAGCGGCGGACGGGUGAGUAACACGUGUGUAACCUACCUAUAAGACUGGGAGAACUUCGUGAAACCGGAGCUAAUACCGGAUGAGAUUGUGAACCGCAUGGUUCAAAAGUGAAAGACGGCCUUGCUGUCACUUAUAGAUGGAGCCGCGCUGCAUUAGCUAGUUGGUAAGGUAACGGCUUACCAAGGCAACGAUGCAUAGCCGACCUGAGAGGAUGAUCGGCCACACUGGAACUGAGACACGGUCCAGACUCCUACGGGAGGCAGCAGUAGGGAAUCUUCCGCAAUGGGCGAAAGCCUGACGGAGCCACGCCGCGUGCGUGAUGAAGGUCUUCGGAUCGUAAAACUCUGUUAUUAGGGAAGAACAUAUGUGUACGUAAAUGUGCACAUCUUGACGGUACCUAAUCAGAAAGCCCCGGCUAACUACGUG